This 465-nucleotide ribosomal RNA is filed under the name Vreelandella stevensii. RNAcentral describes it as "partial 16S ribosomal RNA". It matches the Rfam family "Bacterial small subunit ribosomal RNA", at positions 338 to 795 of the family's 1533-position model. The record is from RNAcentral. Lineage: Bacteria; Pseudomonadati; Pseudomonadota; Gammaproteobacteria; Oceanospirillales; Halomonadaceae.
CCUACGGGAGGCUGCAGUGGGGAAUAUUGGACAAUGGGGACAACCCUGAUCCAGCCAUGCCGCGUGUGUGAAGAAGGCCCUCGGGUUGUAAAGCACUUUCAGUGAGGAAGAACGCCUGGUGGUUAAUACCCAUCAGGAAAGACAUCACUCACAGAAGAAGCACCGGCUAACUCCGUGCCAGCAGCCGCGGUAAUACGGAGGGUGCGAGCGUUAAUCGGAAUUACUGGGCGUAAAGCGCGCGUAGGUGGCUUGAUAAGCCGGUUGUGAAAGCCCCGGGCUCAACCUGGGAACGGCAUCCGGAACUGUCAAGCUAGAGUGCAGGAGAGGAAGGUAGAAUUCCCGGUGUAGAGGUGAAAUGCGUAGAGAUCGGGAGGAAUACCAGUGGCGAAGGCGGCCUUCUGGACUGACACUGACACUGAGGUGCGAAAGCGUGGGUAGCAAACAGGAUUAGAUACCCUAGUAGUC